UACAGAGGGUGCGAGCGUUAAUCGGAAUUACUGGGCGUAAAGGGUGCGUAGGUGGUUUGUUAAGUUAGAUGUGAAAGUCCUGGGCUUAACCUGGGGAUUGCAUUUAAUACUGGCGAGCUAGAGUACUGUAGAGGGAAGUGGAAUUUCCGGUGUAGCGGUGAAAUGCGUAGAUAUCGGAAGGAACAUCAGUGGCGAAGGCGACUUUCUGGACAGAUACUGACACUGAGGCACGAAAGCGUGGGGAGCAAACAGG
RNAcentral lists this ribosomal RNA (253 nucleotides) under uncultured bacterium. RNAcentral describes it as "partial 16S ribosomal RNA". It matches the Rfam family "Bacterial small subunit ribosomal RNA", at positions 524 to 776 of the family's 1533-position model. The record is from RNAcentral.